GAUGAACGCUGGCGGCGUGCCUAAUACAUGCAAGUCGAGCGAACGGACGAGAGGCUUGCUUCUCUGAUGUUAGCGGCGGACGGGUGAGUAACACGUGGAUAACCUACCUAUAAGACUGGGAUAACUUCGGGAAACCGGAGCUAAUACCGGAUGAUAUUUUGAACCGCAUGGUUCAAAAGUGAAAGACGGUCUUGCUGUCACUUAUAGAUGGAUCCGCGCUGCAUUAGCUAGUUGGUAAGGUAAUGGCUUACCAAGGCAACGAUGCAUAGCCGACCUGAGAGGGUGAUCGGCCACACUGGAACUGAGACACGGUCCAGACUCCUACGGGAGGCAGCAGUAGGGAAUCUUCCGCAAUGGGCGAAAGCCUGACGGAGCAACGCCGCGUGAGUGAUGAAGGUCUUCGGAUCGUAAAACUCUGUUAUUAGGGAAGAACAUAUGUGUAAGUAACUGUGCACAUCUUGACGGUACCUAAUCAGAAAGCCACGGCUAACUACGUG
RNAcentral lists this ribosomal RNA (497 nucleotides) under uncultured bacterium. RNAcentral describes it as "partial 16S ribosomal RNA". It matches the Rfam family "Bacterial small subunit ribosomal RNA", at positions 28 to 507 of the family's 1533-position model. The record is from RNAcentral.